UGGGGAAUUUUGCACAAUGGGGGAAACCCUGAUGCAGCGACGCCGCGUGAUUUAGAAGGCCUUCGGGUUGUAAAAAUCUUUUCUAUGGGAAGAAAAUGACAGUACCAUAGGAAUAAGGACCGGCUAAUUACGUGCCAGCAGCCGCGGUAAUACGUAAGGUCCGAGCGUUGUCCGGAAUCAUUGGGCGUAAAGGGUACGUAGGCGGGUAAGCAAGUUAGAAGUGAAAUCCUAUAGCUCAACUAUAGUAAGCUUUUAAAACUGCUCAUCUUGAGGUAUGGAAGGGGAAGUGGAAUUCCUAGUGUAGCGGUGAAAUGCGCCGAUAUUAGGGGGAAUACCGGUGGCGAAGGCGACUUUCUGGCCAUAACCUGACGCUGAGGUACGAAAGCGUGGGUAGCAAACAGG
This 402-nucleotide ribosomal RNA is filed under the name bacterium. RNAcentral's name for it is "partial 16S ribosomal RNA". It matches the Rfam family "Bacterial small subunit ribosomal RNA", at positions 355 to 776 of the family's 1533-position model. The record is from RNAcentral.